GAGCCUGAGAAAUGGCUACCACAUCCAAGGAUGGCAGCAGGCGCGCAAAUUACCCACUCCCAGCUUGGGGAGGUAGUGACGAAAAAUAACAAUGCGGGACUCUAAGAGGCCCCGUAAUUGGAAUGAGUACACCUUGAAUCGUUUAACGAGUAUCAAUUGGAGGGCAAGUCUGGUGCCAGCAGCCGCGGUAAUUCCAGCUCCAAUAGCGUAUAUUAAAGUUGCUGCAGUUAAAAAGCUCGUAGUUGGAUCUGGGGCUUGAGGUCGCUGUUUAUCGUUUCGGCGAUGACGGUGAUGCUCAGCUCUGCUUGCCGGUGACUGUUGCGGUGUUCUUCACUGAGCGCUGUAGCAGCACGGCACGUUUACUUUGAAAAAAUUAGAGUGCUCAAAGCGUGCUUGUCGCUUGAAUAAUGUUGCAUGGAAUAAUGGAAUAGGACCUCGGUUCUAUUUUGUUGGUUUUCGGAGCUUGAGGUAAUGAUUAAGAGGGACGAACGGGGGCAUUCGUAUUGCGGUGUUAGAGGUGAAAUUCUUGGAUCGCCGCAAGACGGACUACUGCGAAAGCAUUUGCCAAGAACGCUUUCAUUAAUUAAGAACGAAAGUCAGAGGUUCGAAGACGAUCAGACACCGUCCUAGUUCUGACCAUAAACGAUGCCGACCAGCGAUCCGUAGUGGUUGCUUUAUGGACCCUACGGGCAGCCUCCGGGAAACCAAAGUAUUUGGGUUCCGGGGGAAGUAUGGUUGCAAAGCUGAAACUUAAAGGAAUUGACGGAAGGGCACACCAGGAGUGGAGCCUGCGGCUUAAUUUGACCCAACACGGGAAAACUCACCCGGUCCGGACACCGUAAGGAUUGACGGACUGAUAGCUCUUUCUUGAUUCGGUGGAUGGUGGUGCAUGGCCGUUCUUAGUUGGUGGAGUGAUUUGUCUGGUUAAUUCCGAUAACGAACGAGACUCUAGCCUGCUAAGUAGUGUUGCUAUUGUUAUAUGGUUGACACUUCUUAGAGGGACAAGUGGCAUUUAGCCACGCGAAAUUGAGCAAUAACAGGUCUGUGAUGCCCUUAGAUGUCCGGGGCCGCACGCGCGCUACACUGGAGAAGUCAGCGUGUGUUAUCCAAGUCCGAAAGGACUGGGUAACCCGUUGAACCUUCUUCGUGCUUGGGACUGUGGCUUGGAACUAUUCCACAUGAACGAGGAAUUCCUAGUAAUUGCAAGUCAUAAGCUUGCGUUGAUUACGUCCCUGCCCUUUGUACACACCGCCCGUCGCUACUACCGAUUGAAUGGUUUAGCAAGGUCCUCGGAUCGUGGCCGUAGGGGCACGCAAGUGUUUCUGCGGUUUGCGAGAAGACGACCAAACUUGAUCAUUUAGAGGAAGUAAAAGUCGUAACAAGGUU
This 1386-nucleotide ribosomal RNA is filed under the name metagenome. Its description in RNAcentral is "SSU rRNA". It matches the Rfam family "Eukaryotic small subunit ribosomal RNA", at positions 392 to 1801 of the family's 1831-position model. The record is from RNAcentral.